This 70-nucleotide transfer RNA is filed under the name Pristimantis sp. SBH-2008. RNAcentral's name for it is "tRNA-Val". It matches the Rfam family "tRNA". From Rfam's summary of the family: Transfer RNA (tRNA) molecules are approximately 80 nucleotides in length. Their secondary structure includes four short double-helical elements and three loops (D, anti-codon, and T loops). Lineage: Eukaryota; Metazoa; Chordata; Amphibia; Anura; Strabomantidae. The record is from RNAcentral.
UAGAACAUAGCUUAAAUAAAGCACCUCGCUUACACCGAGCUGUUGUCUGUUAUACCCAGUCUGUUCUUAG